This 265-nucleotide ribosomal RNA is filed under the name uncultured bacterium. Its description in RNAcentral is "partial 16S ribosomal RNA". It matches the Rfam family "Bacterial small subunit ribosomal RNA", at positions 334 to 591 of the family's 1533-position model. The record is from RNAcentral.
GGUCCCUACGGGAGGCAGCAGUGGGGAAUAUUGCGCAAUGGGCGAAAGCCUGACGCAGCGACGCCGCGUGAGGGAUGAAGGUCUUCGGAUCGUAAACCUCUGUCAGCGGGGAAGAACGGUCACUGUGCUAAUCAGCAGUGAAUUGACGGUACCUGCAAAGGCAGCACCGGCUAACUCCGUGCCAGCAGCCGCGGUAAUACGGCGGGUGCGAGCGUUAAUCGGAAUUACUGGGCGUAAAGCGCUCGUAGGCGGUAGGUCAAGUCAA